AGAGGGUGCGAGCGUUAAUCGGAUUUACUGGGCGUAAAGCGUGCGUAGGCGGCUUCUUAAGUCGGAUGUGAAAUCCCUGAGCUUAACUUAGGAAUUGCAUUCGAUACUGGGAAGCUAGAGUAUGGGAGAGGAUGGUAGAAUUCCAGGUGUAGCGGUGAAAUGCGUAGAGAUCUGGAGGAAUACCGAUGGCGAAGGCAGCCAUCUGGCCUAAUACUGACGCUGAGGUACGAAAGCAUGGGGAGCAAAC
Molecule: ribosomal RNA, 247 nt
Filed under: uncultured Acinetobacter sp.
Lineage: Bacteria; Pseudomonadati; Pseudomonadota; Gammaproteobacteria; Moraxellales; Moraxellaceae
Description: partial 16S ribosomal RNA
Rfam family: Bacterial small subunit ribosomal RNA
Source: RNAcentral